Molecule: ribosomal RNA, 253 nt
Filed under: uncultured bacterium
Lineage: Bacteria
Description: partial 16S ribosomal RNA
Rfam family: Bacterial small subunit ribosomal RNA
Source: RNAcentral
UACGUAGGGGGCAAGCGUUGUCCGGAAUCAUUGGGCGUAAAGAGCGUGUAGGCGGCCCGAUAAGUCCGCCGUGAAAGCCCAGGGCUCAACCCUGGGAUGCCGGUGGAUACUGUCGGGCUAGAGUUCGGAAGAGGCAAGUGGAAUUCCUGGUGUAGCGGUGAAAUGCGCAGAUAUCAGGAGGAACACCGAUGGCGAAGGCAGCUCGCUGGGACGGUACUGACGCUGAGGCGCGAAAGCGUGGGGAGCGAACAGG